This 440-nucleotide ribosomal RNA is filed under the name uncultured bacterium. RNAcentral describes it as "partial 16S ribosomal RNA". It matches the Rfam family "Bacterial small subunit ribosomal RNA", at positions 338 to 795 of the family's 1533-position model. The record is from RNAcentral.
CCUACGGGUGGCAGCAGUAGGGAAUAUUGCUCAAUGGGGGAAACACUGAAGCAGCAACGCCGCGUGGAGGAUGAAGGUUUUAGGAUUGUAAACUCCUUUUGUUAGAGAAGAUUAUGACGGUAUCUAACGAAUAAGCACCGGCUAACUCCGUGCCAGCAGCCGCGGUAAUACGGAGGGUGCAAGCGUUACUCGGAAUCACUGGGCGUAAAGAGUGCGUAGGCGGGGUAAUAAGUCAGAUGUGAAAUCCUGUAGCUUAACUACAGAACUGCAUUUGAAACUGUUACUCUGGAGUGUGGGAGAGGUAGGUGGAAUGCUCGGUGUAGGGGUAAAAUGCGUAGAGAUCAAGAAGAAUACUCAUUGCGAAGGCGACCUGCUGGAACAUUACUGACGCUGAUGCACGAAAGCGUGGGGAGCAAACAGGAUUAGAUACCCUAGUAGUC